RNAcentral lists this ribosomal RNA (496 nucleotides) under uncultured bacterium. RNAcentral's name for it is "partial 16S ribosomal RNA". It matches the Rfam family "Bacterial small subunit ribosomal RNA", at positions 28 to 506 of the family's 1533-position model. The record is from RNAcentral.
GAUGAACGCUGGCGGCGUGCCUAAUACAUGCAAGUCGAGCGAACGGACGAGAAGCUUGCUUCUCUGAUGUUAGCGGCGGACGGGUGAGUAACACGUGGAUAACCUACCUAUAAGACUGGGAUAACUUCGGGAAACCGUAGCUAAUACCGGAUAAUAUUUUGAACCGCAUGGUUCAAAAGUGAAAGACGGUCUUGCUGUCACUUAUAGAUGGAUCCGCGCUGCAUUAGCUAGUUGGUAAGGUAACGGCUUACCAAGGCAACGAUGCAUAGCCGACCUGAGAGGGUGAUCGGCCAAACUGGAACUGAGACACGGUCCAGACUCCUACGGGAGGCAGCAGUAGGGAAUCUUCCGCAAUGGGCGAAAGCCUGACGGAGCAACGCCGCGUGAGUGAUGAAGGUCUUCGGAUCGUAAAACUCUGUUAUUAGGGAAGAACAUAUGUGUAAGUAACUGUGCACAUCUUGACGGUACCUAAUCAGAAAGCCACGGCUAACUACGU